UUCGACCUGCGGGGCGCAGCAGUGAGGAAUAUUGGUCAAUGGGCGGAAGCCUGAACCAGCCAAGUCGCGUGAGGGAAUAAGGCCCUACGGGUCGUAAACCUCUUUUGCCGGGGAGCAAGGGCCGGGACGCGUCCCGGCCCGGAGAGUACCCGGAGAAAAAGCAUCGGCUAACUCCGUGCCAGCAGCCGCGGUAAUACGGAGGAUGCGAGCGUUAUCCGGAUUUAUUGGGUUUAAAGGGUGCGUAGGCGGGCUUUUAAGUCAGCGGUAAACAUUCGGGGCUCAACCCCGUCCAGCCGUUGAAACUG
This 305-nucleotide ribosomal RNA is filed under the name uncultured bacterium. Its description in RNAcentral is "bacterial SSU rRNA". It matches the Rfam family "Bacterial small subunit ribosomal RNA", at positions 333 to 635 of the family's 1533-position model. The record is from RNAcentral.